GAGGUGCUGGGGAGGAGCAGUGCAGCACAACAGGACCCCCCUUCAACGGGAGCCUCCAGGCGACCUACCAGGCCGACCCGGAUGAGCCUGAUAGAAGUCAGAGAUGAGGGAGGGGUCCAAAAUAAGGGCCCACGAGACCC
Molecule: long non-coding RNA, 140 nt
Organism: Thalassophryne amazonica
Lineage: Eukaryota; Metazoa; Chordata; Actinopteri; Batrachoidiformes; Batrachoididae
Exons: 3
Source: RefSeq, a predicted model, not a curated record